GAUGAACGCUGGCGGCGUGCUUAAUACAUGCAAGUCGAGCGAACAGACGAGGUGCUCGUGCUUCGUAUGUUAGCGGCGGACGGGUGAGUAACUCGUGGAUAACCUACCUAUCCAACUGAGAUAACUUCGCGAACCCGAGGCUAAUUACUGAUAACAUGUCCCACCUUUAUGCUUAUCAGUUUGAGACGGUCUUGCGGUCACUUAUAGAUGGAUGUGCGUCGCAUUAGCUAGUUGGUAAGGUAACGGCCCACCAAGCCAACGAUGCGUAGCCGAUCUGAGAGAGAGAUAGGCCACACUGAAACUGAGACACGUUCGAGACACCUACGGAAGGCAGCAGUAGGGAAUCUUCCGCGAUGGACGGAAGCCUGACGGAACAACGCCACGUGCGUGAGGAAGGUCUGCCGAUCGGAAAGCUCUGUUAUUAGAGAAGAAAAAAAAUGUAAGUAACUGUGCACGUCUUGACGGUACCUAAAGAGAAAGCAACGGCUAACUACGUG
Molecule: ribosomal RNA, 497 nt
Filed under: uncultured bacterium
Lineage: Bacteria
Description: partial 16S ribosomal RNA
Rfam family: Bacterial small subunit ribosomal RNA
Source: RNAcentral